GUCACCUUCCACCUUCUUUAUAGCCAAUUUUUAUUUUCUUUUAUUUUAGUUCUUUUUCACCAUUUCCAAUCUCCUCAAGCUCAAAACCAUCAAAUUUUCCAUUGAUUCCUAGUGAAAUCAAUAAAGCAACCUCAUAGCAAGCUAAGUUUCUUGUAAAGUUAGUUAGUGUUCACAUUUAUGGAGAGAAAAAAGUGAAGUUAGGGAUUUAAGUAAAAGUUCAAGAGAAAGAGAAGAGAGGUGAUUAACAAGGUCUUUAUAAGGGGAAAAAAGUAGCAAAAGAAUGAAGGAAGAAGAAAGAGCUCAUCCAAGCAUUUGAUUCAAGGCAAAAGGCAAAGAGAAGCUUACCUAGCCUUUGACAUUCGACCGAAAGUAAUCCGAUAAAUAGUUGUUUUGUUGGAGGAGAAGUGAGCCAUCCAAGUGAUCCAAAACAAGACCAAACUUUCUUGAGUAUGUGAUGUGUUUCCUACUUCAAUAAGGAUGGCAAUAUGAGACUUUACUUUGGGAGUUAGACUUUGAUAUUUUCUUUGAUUAUUUGAGAAUUUUGAUUUUGAAUAUGAAUGUUAUGAUGGUUUGAGUUGCAUGAUAAAUGAUUUGUAUGCCUAUGGGCGAAUAAUGACAUAGAUGUUUUUAGUGUAUGCUGAAAGUUGUAGCAAGUUUCAAAUGACUUGUUGGUAUGAAAUAGACCUUUUAUGCACAUAAAAAUUCUAUUAAUGUAAAAUUGGUAUGCUAAGUAAUUGAUUUAUGAAGUUAGGAUUGCAUGCUAGCAUAACUAUUUACGUUGGAUGUCAAAUUGUGUGUUGAGAAAUUUUGAAGUGUGUGAUAAUACUUAAUACGAUCUAUCUAUGUUUUAUGAUAUUUUGGAUUAGAUAAAUUAAGCUAAAUGCGCGAAUUGAUAUGCUUGGUAAUGUGAAAAAGUGUCAUAUGCAGUUUUGGGCUAUUUUCUACAGAAAUUAUAGACGACGUUACGAUGAAGGAUCGACGUCACGACGAGGAAUGUUGUGUGAUCACGACAUGAUAUAUUGUGUGAUUGAACCAUGUUUUGAUAAUUUUGCAAUACAAUUCUGAUUUUCAUACUUUGCAAUUGGAGUCCUUAAAUCUUUGUUUUGUAAUUAAAUGAGUCUUUCUUAUUUUUCUAAAUUGUUUCUUUCAAAUACAGUCUAAGUUCAGAUGCUUUAAACUGUAUGUAUGCUUAACUUGUUGAGGUAUGUAUGAUUUGUAUAUUGUAUAAGGAAAGAUGAAUAUACCCAUAUUGUUGUAUUGAUUAGAGUAGCGUAACGGAAGCAUGAUUUAGAGUUUAUAUAUUUACCCUGGACUAUAUGAUUGAUGCUUAUACAUAUAAAUAUGUUACAUGCAUAUUUUGAGGUGUGAACGAUGAUUUUUUGGUGUGUUUGGUGGUCGGUAAGGAGAGUCACGUAAGUGACGUUCUAGAUUGGGUCAGACCAUCCUGGCCAGGUUUGGGGCUCUACAUGAUGAUUGAAUUGUAUGUGAAUAUGUCAAGUAUAUAUGUAUAAAAUUUGAUGAAUGAAAAGUGAAAAUAUGAAUUGGAUUCUAAUUUCAAAAUGAGUAGAUUUGAAUGAAGAGACUAAAUUGUAGUAAGGACAUUGUCAAGCGUAAAAAAUUAGACAUGUGAACCAAAAUAUUGAUAAAUAGGGUUUGAAUGAAGUAUAAUGUAUUAGUGAAUAGACGAAAAGUAAAGUUAUAGUGAAAUUAGAAAGUAUAGUGAAUUUUCAUCUGAACAAAGACUAUACGGAAAAAGGUGUAAAAUUUAAAUUGUUUUUAAUUGUUGAGUAAAUGUACUGAAUUUAACAUAUAAAUGCUCAUGUAGACAAGGUGUGAGCUAGUAGGAUAUAGAUGACAUGCCAUUAGGAGAUUUUCAAGUGCGCUAGUGAUAGUGGCACUUCGGUGCUAGUGACAGUGGCACUUCGGUGUCGUUUGUUUAUUUUACACUUUGGUGUAAGGUAGUACUGGCACCGUUGUGCAAAUGAAUUAAUUUUCUAUACACAUAUCUUACGUGUUCUAUUGAGUCUACAAUUGGGAAAAUAAUAUAAAAGGUAAGUGGUCAUAUAAAUGAAUUGGUAAGUGAUCUAUAGAAUGUUAGUUUAAUAAUUCACUAUGGUUACUUUUCACUUAAUUUCACUGUACAUAACUAAUAUUCAGAUACUUUAAAUGAUAACAUAGGUUUUUUUAAAUGGUAAGUUUAAUUCUUGAUGUACUUACUAAACUCAUCACAUCUUAAAGCUUGAUGAUCUGCCACAAUUCGUUGUGGCAAAUUACAUUUCUUUUAACACUUAAUGAGCUUGUUUUCAAGUGAUUUAGAAUUACUUUAGUUAGUUUUAUGUUUUAGUACUUUCCUAGUUAAAAUUAAUAAAAUGAGAACUUUGAUGUGUUUUAUGACCUUUUAGGCCAAUCCAGGCCUAAGGGAAGAUUAACAAGUUGAUUAACUGUGUAGGACAUCAAUUUAGGCCAAGGAGUCAGUGGACUAUCUUCAAUGCAACAACAUCCAACUAGGAUGUCGUAACAACCAACUUCAAAGUAACCAAGGAGCAUGAAGACAUCAAUGUCGCGACAUCCACCUUUGAAGCCAAGGAAGUCCAGUUUGAUGUUUAAUGUCACGACAGCAGCUUAUGAAUGUCGUGACACCAGUUCGACGAGGCCUAAUUUACAGCUAAGGGUGUUUUAGUCUACACAACCUUAAUUAAAUGUGAUUAGACAUUUGUAAUUAACCUAAUUCAACCAUGUAAUACUGUUAUUAUAUAUAGUAGUUCUGAAGACUUAAUUGGGGGAAUUUCCCUUUGUUUUAA
Gossypium raimondii (Peruvian cotton) is the source of this 2801-nucleotide long non-coding RNA. RefSeq lists it as uncharacterized. The transcript is spliced from 4 exons. Lineage: Eukaryota; Viridiplantae; Streptophyta; Magnoliopsida; Malvales; Malvaceae. The record is from RefSeq and is a predicted model, not a curated record.